This is a long non-coding RNA of Gallus gallus (chicken), 1642 nucleotides long. The record is from Ensembl. NCBI's taxonomy places the organism in Eukaryota, Metazoa, Chordata, Aves, Galliformes, Phasianidae.
GCCCUCACUUGCAGUCUGUUUGCACAGCUCCUGCCCCAGUGUCCUACAGCCCUGAGGAAUAUUAGAUAUCCGUACAAACUGCAGCUUUUCCUGAAAUGAAACUUCUUGUCUUGCCAGCCUAUUCUCUCUAAAUGUAGAAAAGAGAAGAAAAAGGAUAAAAUAGGAACUCCUAGAAUCACUGGGGUUGGGAGGGACCUCUGGGAAUCAUCCAGACCAAGUCCACAUUAAAGUAGGUUCCCUGCAGUGGGUUGCCCAGUAAAGCAUCCAGAUUGCCCACAGCUUCUACUACUGUGUCAAAGGUAGUCUAAAACAGAAGGCAAUCUAAGAGAUCUCCUGCUGCUUAUGCCAGUCUCAUAAGCAGAAAGAAGACCUCCUUUCAUUCUUCAUUCUGUGCAAGUGAAACUACCAGUGUAUCUAACAGCUGAUCAACAUCACAAGUUUUCCUCCACAAAAACAGUAUUUAUUUGCUUCUUUUAACUUGCUGUGCAAGCCUUUCAGUUUUUUUAAAAGCAGACAGCUUUACCAAGUCAGGAAUCCCAGACCUUGGAGUUAUUAUAGAUUCACUGUCAGAAGUCAACAACCAGCCACGUAAAUAGAUGUUAAGGAUGACACGGUAACACACCAUGCAAGGCACCUGCCAUACAUUUUCCAGAAGAAGUCAGUACUGGAGACGGCGCUGUAGGUACCAUGGAGAGCUCCUAGGCCAGGCACUGUGCUGGAGGACCGUCAUGUCCAGACCCAUGACUUGCAGCGGACACGUUACAGAAGGUGCAUCCAGCUGCAAAAUGUGGAUCAGGUCUGAACUGCUAUCUCAAGACAUCGUUAUGCAUCUGCUCUAACUAUGAAACCUACUCCACUUCACCAUUAUAGAGGUUUUCCACUUUGACUCCAUUCGAUUUUCUCGUUUUCGGAUUUGGGGAGUUAUUUUUGAGUAGCACAACUUCACUAGCUUCACUGACACCGAAUGUGAUGUACAGCAGUGGAGUUACAAUAGAGUUAAACCAAUGAUCUGACAUACUGAUUGGCAAUGUUAGUCUCAUUUUACAAAAACCAGAUUCCUUUUCUGUUUGCUGUCACUGUAGCAACAUCUAAUGACAGGCUGUGACAGCAUGAGCAAGGGGGGAGAGCUGUGAAAAAAAGUUGAGCCAUAAAACAUCUGUCUUAGCAACAAAUUAAGCCUGAAGUAGAGCCAUAUUACUACUUUUGUCCAUACAUCUAUCUUUUUAACACUGUUUUUCCACCAGAUUGUUAAAAAUAACUUGUUGCUGUCUCUAAGCUGUGUGAUGCAUAAGAAGAUUUUGCUUUGGUACUUUUAAGAUCAGAGAGUGCUGAUGCAGAGUUCUGAGGCUACUAAACUCAGGAUUUACAAUUUACCUUGGCUCCUUAAGGCAAUACAUUAAUACUUGCAGUAAUUGCAGAAAAGUCCCGAAGGGACCAUGAGUGUUGUACAUAGUUUAAGUAUGAAUAUUGAUUCAGUUAUUCAAUCAGUCAGGCUUUAUUUUAUAUAGUACAUCUACCCUUCAGUGUUCAUCUUUGGUCACUAUGGAUAAAUAAUGAGAAAGGAAUUGGAACUGUAAAUAAAGCUUCAGCUCAGGAGGCACUGUUCUAACAAAAGAGGUAGUACGUAAUAAAUACACACAAG